This is a long non-coding RNA of Pipistrellus kuhlii (Kuhl's pipistrelle), 392 nucleotides long. RefSeq lists it as uncharacterized. NCBI's taxonomy places the organism in Eukaryota, Metazoa, Chordata, Mammalia, Chiroptera, Vespertilionidae. The transcript has 2 exons. The record is from RefSeq and is a predicted model, not a curated record.
GGAAAUACACUUCCCCAAAAUCUGUCCCCCAAAGAGGAAAAGGCCACCUUCCACCUUCUUUGGUCUAGACAUGGGAAAAUGUGCUUUGCUUGGUUGCUUUAAGGCACUCAUACUACUAGUGCUCCAUGUAUUUUUCAACCCAUGGUCAGUUUCAUGUUUUCUUAAAUUUGGGGGGAAGAAAAAUCCUUCCAUUUAAAAAUAACUAGAAAUAAUGGAAGAAGUGUGUAUUUUUCUAACAUGGCCCAAACAUUGAACUAAAAUAAAUGGCCAACCGUUUUCCUAAUGAAAACUAGCAUUUGCUUUGCUGCCUUGAUAAGUGCCCUACGUCAGUAAGAAUCUGAAAUGUCCUCUAAGAUAUUUCUAGAAUAUUUAGUUAUUGAUAAAUUGUUUCA